GAAAUCAGGCGAAAAACAGAAACAAACCCCUAAUCCAAAAAUGUUCUUGCCUAUUUGCUCCUCUCUGUUAUAACCUCUUGAGCCUUUCCCUUUUUUUUCUUCUCUUUUUUUGUGUCCUUUCUUUCUUUUUAAGGGGGGGCGCUUUGAUAGCGACGCACCGUGGAAGGUUCG
RNAcentral lists this non-coding RNA (171 nucleotides) under uncultured eukaryote. The record is from RNAcentral.